CAGUAGCCGCGGGAAUACAGAGGGUGCGAGCGUUAAUCGGAUUUACUGGGCGUAAAGCGUGCGUAGGCGGCUUCUUAAGUCGGAUGUGAAAUCCCUGAGCUUAACUUAGGAAUUGCAUUCGAUACUGGGAAGCUAGAGUAUGGGAGAGGAUGGUAGAAUUCCAGGUGUAGCGGUGAAAUGCGUAGAGAUCUGGAGGAAUACCGAUGGCGAAGGCAGCCAUCUGGCCUAAUACUGACGCUGAGGUACGAAAGCAUGGGGAGCAAACAGGAUUAGAUACCCCCGUAGUCCCUGUCUAUUAUAC
RNAcentral lists this ribosomal RNA (301 nucleotides) under uncultured bacterium. RNAcentral describes it as "partial 16S ribosomal RNA". It matches the Rfam family "Bacterial small subunit ribosomal RNA", at positions 509 to 807 of the family's 1533-position model. The record is from RNAcentral.